RNAcentral lists this ribosomal RNA (497 nucleotides) under uncultured bacterium. Its description in RNAcentral is "partial 16S ribosomal RNA". It matches the Rfam family "Bacterial small subunit ribosomal RNA", at positions 28 to 507 of the family's 1533-position model. The record is from RNAcentral.
GAUGAACGCUGGCGGCGUGCCUAAUACAUGCAAGUCGAGCGAACGGACGAGAAGCCUGCUUCUCUGAUGUUAGCGGCGGACGGGUGAGUAACACGUGGCUAACCUACCUAUAAGACUGGGAUAACUUCGGGAAACCGGAGCUAAUACCGGAUGAUAUUUUGAACCGCAUGGUUCAAAAGUGAAAGACGGUCUUGCUGUCACUUAUAGAUGGAUCCGCGCUGCAUUAGCUAGUUGGUAAGGUAACGGCUUACCAAGGCAACGAUGCAUAGCCGACCUGAGAGGGUGAUCAGCCACACUGGAACUGAGACACGGUCCAGACUCCUACGGGAGGCAGCAGUAGGGAAUCUUCCGCAAUGGGCGAAAGCCUGACGGAGCAACGCCGCGUGAGUGAUGAAGGUCUUCGGAUCGUAAAACUCUGUUAUUAGGGAAGAACAGAUGUGUAAGUAACUGUGCACAUCUUGACGGUACCUAAUCAGAAAGCCACGGCUAACUACGUG